Molecule: long non-coding RNA, 1398 nt
Filed under: Marmota monax (woodchuck)
Lineage: Eukaryota; Metazoa; Chordata; Mammalia; Rodentia; Sciuridae
Source: RNAcentral
CUAAACAUUUUCCUUUUCCUUAUCCCCCACAGUUUUAUUCUUCAGAAGUUUCCAUUUUUGAAAGUUUCUUAUCUCCAUAACUCUUAAUAUAUUUUUAACCCUAUUUCUUGAUUUGUCAAACUUAACAAAAUGUGUGGAGUCUCCACUGUGAAAGACUUCUACUAACUCUUACCUUUCCAUUUUUUCCCCACUGGGGGAAGGUUUUAAGCACAGGAGAUACCCAAUUGGAUUUGAAUUUUGGAAAGAUUAUUUUGCUAGCAUAUGAAGGUGGUUUGGCAGCUGUUUCAAUAAGCCAAGCAAGAAUGCAGGUUGGAGGAAUGGGGUUUUUGAAAGCACUUAGUGAAUAGAAAGUUGAGAACCAGGGGGUUCUAGAAGCUAGAGGGAGGAAGAAGAUCACCCCUGGGUUUUGACUGGUUUCAUGGCAGGUGGUACUUACACUCUCCAAAAAAAAAGUAUGCAGGAGAAGAAAGUCAGUUUUAGUAGGGAGGAAAGAUGUUGAAUUUUACUUUGGAUAUUUUGAAUUUGACAUGUUUUAGGAAUCUAGAUAGAGAUGCUCUAUAAGGCAGCUAGAUGAAGAGUUCUGGCACCUACGCGUGAGCAGAAAAAGGGAGAUUUGUAACUUUUUCAUUUUUAUUCAUUUUCUCAUUCCUGCAUUCCUUCACUCAUUUAAAAAUUACUUAAUGAAUGCCUUCUAUGAGCUACAUGCUGGCUAUAAAAUGGAGAGAGACCAGGUAACUUUCCUCCUUUCAUAGAGUUUUUAAGCUGGGGGAGAAGAUAAGAUAUUAGCACAUAAAUUCACAAAGACAUAUGUAAUUAUAGAUUGUGGUAGGUGUUAUGAAGAGAAAACGCAGGCUUAUGUGAGAGAGUAAUAGUAUGAACCAAAUUUAGACCAAGGGGUGGGUGGGAAACAUAUGGCCAGAAACGCUUCUCUGGGUCUCAAACCAGAGGGCAUUUGAAGAGGAAGUAAUGGCUAGGCCCUGUCCUAAUUUUUGUGGAGAUAUAAUAUUCGCUUCUUAAACUGGAUACUGGUUACUAUUCACUCUGAAAAUGUGCUAUAUACAUAUGAUUUGCAUACUUUUCUCUAUGGUUAUACAUUAGUAAAAUCUUUAAAAUUUAUCAAGUUCUUAUUCCAUAAAUUUAUUUUUCUUGUCUUUGUUUCAGCAUAAAUAAUGCGUUCUAUUCAAGACUUGCCACAUAAUUUGUGUAUCAGUGACUGUAAUAUUAAGUUAAACAACUUGUCUUCAAUCAUUUUUAUUCUUAGCCUCAAAUUAGAUUGUGCCUUUAUCUCAAAUGGUCAUAACAUAGUCUCCAGAGAUAAUAGUUUUUAAAUUAUUAUUUAUUGACCUCGUCUUCAAGUCCAUACAGUUUUGUUUUUUGUUCUAAUUUCCUUGUGUUUUA